UAUCUUCAAGGAAAUUGUUCAAACAAGAUGCUAACAGAAAGGUUGAGUUCCCCAAAGGCUACCACAAGCUGUCCAACCCUAUUUUAGAUUAGCUGAGCAUUGUGUGAAUCCAGAUGUUCUUCUGCAGCCUACUCUGGAUGCAAUUCUCAGAACCAUAAAACCCAUACUAGCUGGGAAUUCUGGGAUUUGCAGUCUGAAAGGGGCCAGAGAAGGCCAAGUCAAGAAAGUUAUAUGGAUCCCUGCAUUCCGAGAGGCGUCUAGCAAGGGCUCCUUUUAUCCUUAGCAUCCAUUUGAAAUGUUAAUGGCGGUUACCCUGAAAAUGAACCCAGUUUUGUACGUCCCUGGGAUUUUGUGAUAGCUGCUCAUCCAGAAUUUCACCAUAUCCAAUUUAACUAGAGAAAAGAAGGACUUGGGGUGACAUGAUGGCAGGAUCCCAGUAUUUGAGGGGCUGCCACAAAGAAGAGGAGGUCAACUUAUUCUCCAAUGCACCUGAGCGUAGGACAAGAAGCAAGAAGCAAUCAAGGAGAGAAGCAACCUGGAAUUAAGGAGAAACUUCCAACAGUGACGACAAUUAACCAGUGGAAC
This is a long non-coding RNA of Pantherophis guttatus, 585 nucleotides long. RefSeq lists it as uncharacterized. The record is from RefSeq and is a predicted model, not a curated record. NCBI's taxonomy places the organism in Eukaryota, Metazoa, Chordata, Lepidosauria, Squamata, Colubridae.